Molecule: long non-coding RNA, 354 nt
Organism: Sciurus carolinensis (gray squirrel)
Lineage: Eukaryota; Metazoa; Chordata; Mammalia; Rodentia; Sciuridae
Exons: 3
Source: RefSeq, a predicted model, not a curated record
UCAGUGAGACCCUGUCUCUAAGUCAAAUACAAGGUCCUAUGUGAUAAUGUGUUGAACUAAAAUGAAUUUUAGGAGCAUAACCUGUCUAUUACCUGGAGGCUGCUGGUGGAAAAAAGAAAGGAAUCCAGUCCAACUCUGACAAUAUUCUCCAAUCAAAUAGAAUUACUCUUCAGCUUUCCUCAUCACCAUGCUGAUGACUCAUCCCAAUGAAUCCAUGUCCCCUAAAGCCCGGAUCCCAAUGACUGUCACCUCUUUGGCAUGGGUUACGUUUAUUUCUUAUUUUUGUGCACAGCAUACAUUAGCUUAUAGAAAUAAACAGAAUAAAACAGAUUUGCUUCAUCUCCUCCGCUCCAU